UACGGAGAGUGCAAGCGUUAAUCGGAAUUACUGGGCGUAAAGCGCACGCAGGCGGCUUGUUAAGUCAGAUGUGAAAUCCCCGGGCUCAACCUGGGAACUGCAUCUGAGACUGGCAAGCUUGAGUCUCGUAGAGGGGGGUAGAAUUCCAGGUGUAGCGGUGAAAUGCGUAGAGAUUUGGAGGAAUACCGGUGGCGAAGGCGGCCCCCUGGACGAAGACUGACGCUCAGGUGCGAAAGCGUGGGGAGCAAACAGG
Molecule: ribosomal RNA, 253 nt
Filed under: uncultured bacterium
Lineage: Bacteria
Description: partial 16S ribosomal RNA
Rfam family: Bacterial small subunit ribosomal RNA
Source: RNAcentral